Molecule: ribosomal RNA, 751 nt
Filed under: Escherichia coli
Lineage: Bacteria; Pseudomonadati; Pseudomonadota; Gammaproteobacteria; Enterobacterales; Enterobacteriaceae
Description: partial 23S ribosomal RNA
Rfam family: Bacterial large subunit ribosomal RNA
Source: RNAcentral
CUGAAUAUGGGGGGACCAUCCUCCAAGGCUAAAUACUCCUGACUGACCGAUAGUGAACCAGUACCGUGAGGGAAAGGCGAAAAGAACCCCGGCGAGGGGAGUGAAAAAGAACCUGAAACCGUGUACGUACAAGCAGUGGGAGCCUCUUAAUGGGGUGACUGCGUACCUUUUGUAUAAUGGGUCAGCGACUUAUAUUCUGUAGCAAGGUUAACCGAAUAGGGGAGCCGAAGGGAAACCGAGUCUUAACUGGGCGUUAAGUUGCAGGGUAUAGACCCGAAACCCGGUGAUCUAGCCAUGGGCAGGUUGAAGGUUGGGUAACACUAACUGGAGGACCGAACCGACUAAUGUUGAAAAAUUAGCGGAUGACUUGUGGCUGGGGGUGAAAGGCCAAUCAAACCGGGAGAUAGCUGGUUCUCCCCGAAAGCUAUUUAGGUAGCGCCUCGUGAAUUCAUCUCCGGGGGUAGAGCACUGUUUCGGCAAGGGGGUCAUCCCGACUUACCAACCCGAUGCAAACUGCGAAUACCGGAGAAUGUUAUCACGGGAGACACACGGCGGGUGCUAACGUCCGUCGUGAAGAGGGAAACAACCCAGACCGCCAGCUAAGGUCCCAAAGUCAUGGUUAAGUGGGAAACGAUGUGGGAAGGCCCAGACAGCCAGGAUGUUGGCUUAGAAGCAGCCAUCAUUUAAAGAAAGCGUAAUAGCUCACUGGUCGAGUCGGCCUGCGCGGAAGAUGUAACGGGGCUAAACCAUG